This 422-nucleotide ribosomal RNA is filed under the name Fusobacteriota bacterium. Its description in RNAcentral is "Fusobacteria bacterium partial 16S ribosomal RNA". It matches the Rfam family "Bacterial small subunit ribosomal RNA", at positions 355 to 776 of the family's 1533-position model. The record is from RNAcentral. Lineage: Bacteria; Fusobacteriati; Fusobacteriota.
UGGGGAAUAUUGCACAAUGGACGGAAGUUUGAUGCAGCGACGCCGCGUGAGGGAUGAAGGCCUUCGGGUUGUAAACCUCUUUCGCUGGGUUGAAAGGCCAUGCUUUGGGUGUGGUUGAUUUGAACUGGUAAAGAAGUACCGGCUAACUACGUGCCAGCAGCCGCGGUAAUACGUAGGGUACUAGCGUUGUCCGGAUUUAUUGGGCGUAAAGGGCUUGUAGGUGGUUUGUCGCGUCUGUCGUGAAAUCCUGUGGCUUAACCAUGGGCUUGCGGUGGGUACGGGCAGGCUUGAGUGCGGUAGGGGAGACUGGAAUUCCUGGUGUAGCGGUGGAAUGCGCAGAUAUCAGGAGGAACACCGGUGGCGAAGGCGGGUCUCUGGGCCGUUACUGACACUGAGGAGCGAAAGCGUGGGGAGCGAACAGG